AUGGGCACCACCGGCCAACUUGGCCACCGACAUGGGACACAAAGCUGCAAAGUAGAAAAUCAUUCGUCGAGGAGUCGCAAGCGUCAUCGUCAUCACCGGUUGCCUCGAACGAGCGACUCCGACUUCACCAUUGAGCUCCAACCGCGAAGCCAACCCGCAAACGGCCGCAUAGAAGCCACGACGGCACAUGCCACCAGAUGGCCACACGCGCAAGCAGCCGACAGCUCCGACUUUGACGACGAGCCUCACCAGGGAAAUAUGCAGGACUUGCGCCGACCGUGCCCUCAAAGCACCUCGGACACGCCGGGAAGAGCCGACUACCGAAGUCCACGCCGCGACCCGAGCUCCUCUCGACGACAUCAUCGUUGCCAAACAGAAACCAGCGCCCCGCCUUAG
Molecule: ribosomal RNA, 396 nt
Filed under: Triticum aestivum (bread wheat)
Lineage: Eukaryota; Viridiplantae; Streptophyta; Magnoliopsida; Poales; Poaceae
Description: partial small subunit ribosomal RNA
Source: RNAcentral